GACGAACGCUGGCGGCGUGCUUAACACAUGCAAGUCGAACGGUGAAGGGACCGGUUUUUGCUGGUUCUGGAUGAGUGGCGAACGGGUGAGUAACACGUGAGUAACCUGCCCCCUUCUUCUGGAUAACCGCAUGAAAGUGUGUCUAAUACGGGAUAUUCUGCGCCUGCUGCAUGGUGGGUGUGGGAAAGAUAUUGUUUCGGUGGGGGAUGGGCUCGCGGCCUAUCAGCUUGUUGGUGGGGUGAUGGCCUACCAAGGCGGUGACGGGUAGCCGGCCUGAGAGGGUGGACGGUCACACUGGGACUGAGACGCGGCCCAGACUCCGACGGGAGGCAGCAGUGGGGAAUAUUGCACGAUGGGCGGAAGCCUGAUGCAGCGACGCCGCGUGAGGGAUGGAGGCCGUCGGGUUGUAAACCUCUUUCGCCAGUGAAGCAGGCCUGUCCCUUGUGUGGGUGGGUUGACGGUAGCUGGAGAAGAAGCGCCGGCUAACUACGUG
RNAcentral lists this ribosomal RNA (493 nucleotides) under uncultured bacterium. RNAcentral describes it as "partial 16S ribosomal RNA". It matches the Rfam family "Bacterial small subunit ribosomal RNA", at positions 28 to 507 of the family's 1533-position model. The record is from RNAcentral.